Molecule: long non-coding RNA, 1773 nt
Filed under: Marmota monax (woodchuck)
Lineage: Eukaryota; Metazoa; Chordata; Mammalia; Rodentia; Sciuridae
Source: RNAcentral
AUUGAAUCUCUGGGAGGUUGAGCGGUCAUCCAGGUCAUGCCAUGGGAUCUGAAGCCAGGUCUACACUCUGGAUUUCUGUGUGUCACCUCUCUUCUGUUGUCAAUGUGUGGCUGGCCCAGUCCAGUUCCUUACCCCAACCUUUUUUUCUUAAUGUGAAAAAUAGCCAGAACUCCAGAAAUCUUGUUUAUGUAGCUGACCGCAUCUCUGAACAAGCAUUUCUCCGUCUUUAAUGUGGAAGUGAACAAUGUGGCCAAGAUGGGAGCAGAUCUUGCUAAGAUGUAUUCUGCUCCUGCUGUCGGGGGAGAGGCCCAGGAAGGGGCAUUUCUACCAUAUCCCCAGGAGAUCCUGUGUCUGCUGGUCCGCCUGCCUCAUGGUGCAGGUCUGUUCUAAUGAUCUCUCCCCUGGUUAGCACACACCCAUCAGGGUGGCUCCGCUCUGUCAGUCAUCCUGAUGUUUUGCAUUUGUCCUUUUGGACAACAGGGGGCUCUGCAAGCUUGAAAAGCUGUGUCUCAUCACACACUCCACAGGCCAGACUUCACCACACCAAACAGCAUUAAUGCCUCUGCACCUCUGGGGUUCUUCAUUGUUCCAAAUACAAAAUUGCUCAAAUGACCGAGUGUGGAAUAUUCUGGACUCUGACUCAGCUGGCUGCAGGUUGAAUGAUGUGGCUCCAAAGCUUGUUCCCCCAGCACUGGAGCUACAGGGGCGAGCCAGACCCUGCACCGUGAGGUCAGGUGAGGAUGAAGGCAUUAUAGACCCCCUGCUCGGGUGUUUGUGGAAAUGCCUUCCUGGAGGAGACCUGGAAGGCUGGGCUGCCUGGGGUUUACAGUGGGCAGAAGUUUCUAGCGUAAGAAGCCUCCUAAGCUGUCAGGGAGAGGAGUUGACAGGAAGGGAGGAACCAUCCAGGAAAAAUAGUGACAGGAGCAGCAGAGACCACCGUCACAGAGCCACAGUGCCCCGGAACAGGACUUGGCUUCACUUGGCAUUGGCCCCCAUGACUGAGUCUGCAUCCUUGGUUCAAAGUCUUGAGAGGUCAAAGCUGACUGACCCAUUGGGGAGGUGGCUUCUUCAGCCAAGAUAAGCCAAGCUAGAAACCUGUCUAUUCCUGUUCAACGUCUUUUGCUGCCAGGCUCACACCUUCUUCUCCCCAUCAGACGGUUUUCAAGCCUCCUCCAUCUGUCAAGAUACCAGGGCACGAACGAGGGCACGAACGUGAACUUGCCAGUAAGAAACGCCCCAGGCACAGCCGACAACCACCCCCAGAGAUGACCCUACUGGCUGUUUUCAAUCUCUGUUCAAUCUCUGUAACAAUCUCUGGGGACAUCGGUUUCUCCCCUGGCUCUAAAGCACGCAAGCCCUAUGUCACCACCUCACAAUUAAGAAGCUGAAGGAUUAAAGCCAUCCCCAGCCUCACAUCCUUUAUAUGAUUAUGAAACACGAACUGGGCUUUAGCAACUUAAUCCAGGGCAAAUUAUACCCAGGCAACCUGGGCCCCUUUUAUAGCUGCCACUGGAAGGAGGAUUGUUAAAAAAAUAAUCAGUACUGCAGUAGGGCUAGAGAAUUGCACCUAAUGUCACUUGCUGACUCGGCUCCGUGGCGGGGUGGGGGCUGUGCAUUGGUCAGCAAGCCCCACUCCUAGGGGGACAGGGACUGUGGUCUUUACAUUCCUCUCAGUGCUUGCUAAGGUACGGGCCGUGCCCACAGUGGACUUUGGUACAUGGUAAAAAUCUCUUUGGCCAGAGAUUGAGAAAUCUUUGAGAUCGUAGUAUUAUG